This 334-nucleotide unclassified non-coding RNA is filed under the name soil metagenome. RNAcentral's name for it is "partial contains 5.8S ribosomal RNA, internal transcribed spacer 2, and large subunit ribosomal RNA". The stretch from base 1 to 120 matches the Rfam family "5.8S ribosomal RNA", at positions 35 to 154 of the family's 154-position model. The record is from RNAcentral.
GAUGAAUAACGUAGCGAAAUGCGAUAAGUAGUGUGAAUUGCAGAAUUCAGUGAAUCAUCGAAUCUUUGAACGCACAUUGCGCCCCUUGGUAUUCCAUGGGGCAUGCCUGUUCGAGCGUCAUUUGUACCUUCAAGCUUUGCUUGGUGUUGGGUGUUUGUCCAUUCUCUUGCAGAGGGACUCGCCUUAAAGUAAUUGGCAGCCAGUGUUUUGGUUUUGAAGCGCAGCACAAGUCGCGAUUCAACGCUAUACGCCAGCUUCCACAAGCCUUUUUCACUUUUGACCUCGGAUCAGGUAGGGAUACCCGCUGAACUUAAGCAUAUCAAUAAGCGGAGGA